GACAGGAGACAGUGGGGAAGAGCUCAUAGCGAGGUGGCGGAGGUGGCGCAAAGGGAGACUUCCCGUGUCGGCGGAAACGAUCCCACGUGCCUUCGCGGAACUCUCUCUCUCUACGAACACCACGCAAUAAAAGGCCACCUUACGUCUGCUCUUGGUCCCAUUACCCCCGCGAAAAAAUGAAGACCAUGGCCUUUGCUCCUUCGACCCUGCAACUCCAAACUCCUCUGAAGCUGAACCCUAAUCCUUAUUGUUUCUCUCUCCACGCCAAACCAACCCUUAGCUCUUCUCCUCUAUCUCUCAACCCCAUUAAAACCAAGACACUGGUGACUUGUGCCCUUGUUCAUGGCGUUCCUGCCACCUUAACCCCGAACCAGUUAACCAUUACCCAUGAAAACGACAAAGAAACCUCUCUCUCUCCAAUUAAGAGGGCUUCUUGUGAGUCUUUGCAGUACGAGAGCGGGUAUAUGGGCGCCAUUACUGAGAAGACUCGCUCAAAGGAAGGGGAGGAUAUGCCCAAUGCCAUGACUUACUUGACCAAUAUAUUGUCUUCUAGGGUUUAUGAUGUGGCAAUUGAGACGCCAUUGCAGUAUGCCACGAAGCUUUCAGAGAGGGCGGGGGUUAAAAUUUGGUUGAAGAGGGAGGAUCUCCAACCUGUUUUCUCAUUCAAAUUGAGGGGAGCAUACAAUAUGAUGUCGAAACUGACGAGGGAGCAAUUGGAAAAAGGAAUUAUCUGUUCAUCGGCAGGAAACCAUGCCCAAGGAGUUGCAUUGUCUGCUCAGAAACUCAAGUGCACUGCAGUGAUUGUUAUGCCUGUUACAACACCUGAAAUUAAGUGGAAAUCUGUUGAGAGGUUGGGUGCAACAGUUGUUCUUCAUGGUGAUUCCUAUGAUGAUGCACAAACAUAUGCAAAGCAGAAGAGUAAGCAGGAAGGGAUGGUGUUUAUACCAGCAUUUGACCAUCCAGAUGUUAUUGUGGGGCAAGGAACAGUUGGCAUGGAAAUAAUACGCCAACUGAAGGGUCCAUUGCAUGCAAUUUUUGUACCAGUUGGUGGGGGUGGUCUGAUAGCAGGAAUCGCUGCUUAUGUUAAGCGGGUUCGCCCAGAGGUGAAGAUAAUUGGAGUGGAGCCUGUGGAUGCAAACACUCUGGCAAUGUCAUUAUAUCAUGGGCAGAGAGUCUUGUUGGAUCAUGUAGGUGGCUUUGCAGAUGGUGUAGCUGUAAAAUUAAUAGGAGAAGAGACUUUCCGUGUGUGCAGGGAUUUGGUGGAUGGGGUGGUUCUUGUCGGCCGUGAUGCCAUUUGUGCAUCGAUAAAGGACAUGUUUGAAGAGAAGAGGAGCAUAUUAGAACCAUCAGGUGCUCUUUCGCUUGCUGGAGCGGAGGCAUAUUGCAAGUACUAUGGUUUGAAGGGUGAAACAGUGGUGGCAAUAACCAGUGGGGCAAACAUGAAUUUUGAUCGGCUGAGACUUGUAACUGAACUUGCUGAUGUUGGUCGUAAACGAGAGGCUGUUUUAGCAACUUUUAUGCCGGAGAAGCCCGGGAGCUUCAAAACGUUUGCUGAGAUGGUUGGUCCAAUUAACAUUACGGAGUUCAAAUACAGAUACGAUGGUACUAAAGAAGAAGCUUUAGUUUUGUGUAGUGUUGGUGUCCAUACAUCUAGUCAACUCAAAGCAAUGGUGGAACGCUUGGGAUCUUCUAACUUAAGGACUAUAGAUCUUACAAACAAUGACUUGGCAAAGGAUCAUCUACGGCAUCUUAUGGGUGGGCGAUCAAAUGUAAAAGAUGAGCUACUAUGCAGAUUCACCUUCCCUGAGAGGCCGGGUGCACUGAUGAAGUUCUUGAAUGCUUUCAGUCCACGUUGGAACAUCAGCUUAUUUCAUUAUCGUGCACAGGUCUUGUAUAUGCUGCGCAGAACACCUGAAUAUCUCGCUUAUUAGUGCAAUAAAGCUGCAGCUCACUGAAGUUAUGGGAUGCAUGAUGCCCAAGGCAAUCUAUCUAUGGUCAAUUGGGUCAUCUCCCAUCUAUUGAAGUUAUUGGACAUUGAUGGAGAGAUUGUGGGACCCCCAUGAACAAAGCAUGGCCCAAUGGUGGUCCAUUGUUCAAAUGAGGCAGGAGGUGACCAAGUUGAGAUGACAUCGGAUAAUCUUGCCUGAGGAUAUCACCUCUGCAACGGUCAAAUAGCCUAAUAAAGAUCAUACGAUGUUUACUUUGGGUCCAUGGCGUUGUCAACGGGGUGCUCUCUACAUGUCUCACUUUGCACAUUUUGUCGCAGCAGGGUGAUAUAGGGGCAAAUGUAUUGGUGGGUAUUCAAGUUCCGAAGGGCGACAUGGAUGAGUUGAGGGAUAAAGCUGAUGUUCUUGGGUACGAGUACAUGCUCGAGAUGAAUAAUGAGGCUCUUCGUCUUUUGAUGCAGUGAGAAAUAUGCACAACGCUUCGUCCAUUAGCUCCGUCCAUGUUGGACACGCACGAUGUACUUUAUCUAAUGAGAAGAACAAAUUAGGGAGGAUUAUAUGGUCAUGUUUUAAUGCUUUUUGUUUCUUGUGCGAGCCUAGUUUUUUGUUUUCUUUGCGUGAUGUCUUGGCUUUGUUGUUGUCAAAUGAAAGUAUGUGUAUCUCUUUCAAAUGGAUUUUAAUUAUCCUACCAGGAAUAAGUUCUAAUGGAAUUCAAUCUCUCUCUCUCUC
Amborella trichopoda is the source of this 2675-nucleotide RNA transcript. It is a transcript of the gene named L-O-methylthreonine resistant 1, with no coding region annotated. The record is from RefSeq and is a predicted model, not a curated record. Lineage: Eukaryota; Viridiplantae; Streptophyta; Magnoliopsida; Amborellales; Amborellaceae.